RNAcentral lists this ribosomal RNA (1439 nucleotides) under uncultured organism. RNAcentral describes it as "16S ribosomal RNA". It matches the Rfam family "Bacterial small subunit ribosomal RNA". The record is from RNAcentral.
GCGGCGUGCUUAACACAUGCAAGUCGAACGAUGAAGCCCAGCUUGCUGGGUGGAUUAGUGGCGAACGGGUGAGUAACACGUGAGUAACCUGCCCUUGACUCUGGGAUAAGCGCUGGAAACGGCGUCUAAUACCGGAUACGACCUACCCCGGCAUCGGGUGUGGGUGGAAAGUUUUUCGGUCAAGGAUGGACUCGCGGCCUAUCAGCUUGUUGGUGAGGUAAUGGCUCACCAAGGCGACGACGGGUAGCCGGCCUGAGAGGGUGACCGGCCACACUGGGACUGAGACACGGCCCAGACUCCUACGGGAGGCAGCAGUGGGGAAUAUUGCACAAUGGGCGAAAGCCUGAUGCAGCAACGCCGCGUGAGGGAUGACGGCCUUCGGGUUGUAAACCUCUUUUAGUAGGGAAGAAGGGCUUCGGCUUGACGGUACCUGCAGAAAAAGCACCGGCUAACUACGUGCCAGCAGCCGCGGUAAUACGUAGGGUGCAAGCGUUGUCCGGAAUUAUUGGGCGUAAAGAGCUCGUAGGCGGUUUGUCGCGUCUGCUGUGAAAACCCGAGGCUCAACCUCGGGCCUGCAGUGGGUACGGGCAGACUAGAGUGCGGUAGGGGAGAAUGGAAUUCCUGGUGUAGCGGUGGAAUGCGCAGAUAUCAGGAGGAACACCGAUGGCGAAGGCAGUUCUCUGGGCCGUAACUGACGCUGAGGAGCGAAAGCGUGGGGAGCGAACAGGAUUAGAUACCCUGGUAGUCCACGCCGUAAACGUUGGGCGCUAGAUGUGGGGACCUUUCCACGGUUUCCGUGUCGCAGCUAACGCAUUAAGCGCCCCGCCUGGGGAGUACGGCCGCAAGGCUAAGACUCAAAGGAAUUGACGGGGGCCCGCACAAGCGGCGGAGCAUGCGGAUUAAUUCGAUGCAACGCGAAGAACCUUACCAAGGCUUGACAUAUACGAGAACGGGCCAGAAAUGGUCAACUCUUUGGACACUCGUAAACAGGUGGUGCACGGUUGUCGUCAGCUCGUGUCGUGAGAUGUUGGGUUAAGUCCCGCAACGAGCGCAACCCUCGUUCUAUGUUGCCAGCACGUUAUGGUGGGAACUCAUAGGAGACUGCCGGGGUCAACUCGGAGGAAGGUGGGGAUGACGUCAAAUCAUCAUGCCCCUUAUGUCUUGGGCUUCACGCAUGCUACAAUGGCCGGUACAAAGGGCUGCGAUACCGUAAGGUGGAGCGAAUCCCAAAAAGCCGGUCUCAGUUCGGAUUGAGGUCUGCAACUCGACCUCAUGAAGUCGGAGUCGCUAGUAAUCGCAGAUCAGCAACGCUGCGGUGAAUACGUUCCCGGGCCUUGUACACACCGCCCGUCAAGUCAUGAAAGUCGGUAACACCCGAAGCCGGUGGCCUAACCUUUUGGAGGGAGCCGUCGAAGGUGGGAUCGGUGAUUAGGACUAAG